GGGAUGGUGGCUCAGUGGUAGAGUGCUUGCCUUGCAUGCAUGAGGCCCUGGGUUUGAUUCCUCAGUACCA
RNAcentral lists this transfer RNA (70 nucleotides) under Dipodomys ordii (Ord's kangaroo rat). It matches the Rfam family "tRNA". From Rfam's summary of the family: Transfer RNA (tRNA) molecules are approximately 80 nucleotides in length. Their secondary structure includes four short double-helical elements and three loops (D, anti-codon, and T loops). Lineage: Eukaryota; Metazoa; Chordata; Mammalia; Rodentia; Heteromyidae. The record is from Rfam by way of RNAcentral.